This 253-nucleotide ribosomal RNA is filed under the name uncultured bacterium. RNAcentral's name for it is "partial 16S ribosomal RNA". It matches the Rfam family "Bacterial small subunit ribosomal RNA", at positions 524 to 776 of the family's 1533-position model. The record is from RNAcentral.
UACGGAGGGUGCAAGCGUUAAUCGGAUUUACUGGGCGUAAAGCGUGCGCAGGCGGUUUGUUAAGUCAGAUGUGAAAGCCCCGGGCUCAACCUGGGAAUUGCAUUUGAUACUGGCAAACUAGAGUACGAGAGAGAGAAGUGGAAUUUCUGGUGUAGCGGUGAAAUGCGUAGAUAUCAGAAGGAACACCAAUGGCGAAGGCAACUUCUUGGCUCGAUACUGACGCUCAUGUACGAAAGCGUGGGGAGCAAACAGG